This 3180-nucleotide long non-coding RNA is filed under the name Coffea arabica (coffee). RNAcentral's name for it is "long non-coding RNA (CARA_LNC001161)". The record is from RNAcentral. Lineage: Eukaryota; Viridiplantae; Streptophyta; Magnoliopsida; Gentianales; Rubiaceae.
UUAACUUCAAAGAUAACAUUACCAUUGGAUAACUGAACAUUCACUCUUAAGUACAUCUCGAAUCAGUUUGAAACAUAAAUUUGUCCAAUAAAAAAAACAAAAUACUUGUUCUAAAUAUCCAUUCUUAAUAUCACAGCAACUCAAACAAAAGAUUCAACCGUCUCAAAAUUCAAAAGAGACCAUGACUACACUAUAUACAUAGAAUAACGGAUCUUCCCAAUAUAACUUUCUAGUUCAAUCCAAUCACUCUUUAAUCUCCGACUCCUGUAAAGAAAACAAAGCUAAAAGGGUGAGCUUACGCCCGUGAGAUUUCCAUGCAAGCAACAAUCAAUAAACACUUAAAUCAGUACAAUUAAGCAAGUAGUGCAUAUUUCACUGUACAAUCACUUUCAUUAGCAAUUGAGGAACCACUUCACUGAACAAUCACUUUUAAAAGGAUACGGUGCUUGCAUUAGAGUCACUUCAAUGCACUACACACUCCGCCAAACUCCUCCUUAUGACCUCCAAAAUAAUAAACACUUCCCUCACUUGGAUGGCCAUAUCAAUAUCAGUAAUCUGCUACUUCGUGGUAAUACUCGAGUAUACCGAACACUUACCCAAAGCUACCGUCCUACCCGACCAAGUCCUUUGCUGGCUCAAAUAGUCCGUUGAACAUAGAGUUUUGGGGCCCAGUUCAACCAACGUGAUAAAGUACACACACGGCUUACAGCCAUGCACACUUACAAUAUCACUUGAUCAAUUAUCAACCUUCAAACUCAACUAAGCCGAGUGCGAUAAAGUACACUCCGGACUUAGAAGGUGAGGGACAAUUGAGAUACACUUUGCAAUGGAUCACUUAGCAAUAUUUCAUAAUAAGUACAUUUGUCACAUAAUUUCACUUAAGUACACAUAAGUAGUUUAAUAUAUAAAUUCGGAAAACACUCACCAAGAUUCAAUGAACUAUUCGCGAGUCUCGAGUUUGUUUCCUGGCUCACCGCUAUUUCCUGGGGCAAUUUAAUAAGUUCAAGGUAAAUAUAUAAUUCGUAAGUGAUCACUUAUCAUUCUUAUUUUAUUAUUUAAACUAUUAAAAUCAGGUUUGACCUUGAAAUACAAAUUUAUUCUUUAUUUACUAUUUAUCCUUCAUUUUAUUUUGAAACUUAUUAAUUUUAUCAUUUAAACCAAGAAUUAUACACAUGUUCUAAGGUUAUAAUCUUAUAGGUAUUUGAAUUAGCUGUAAUCUAUUUUCCACUCAGAAUCCUAAGAUGCAAGCUUAGAAACACUCCAUUGGUUCUCCUUUUAUCUAGCCAAAGUCUAAGUUGUGUGCACUUUAAAUUUUAUUUCACUACACGAGCUUCUCAAGUUUUAUAGUCUUUAAAAUACUGGUGAAAACAAGCUUAAGUGGUUAUAAGCCAUUUUAGGUAUAUAGCUGUAACGAGUUACUUUGGAGUCUCUAAAACACCAUAGGACUUAUUCUAUUGUUAUCUCGGCCAUCAAUAAAAAUUCCAGCAAUAUUACUUCCAAUUUUCAGCAGAACUCCAAUUUUACUUGCUUAAAACACUAUAUACGUAAUGUACAUUUGGUUCAGCAUAAACCAGUGAAAAUAAUACCUAAGUUCAACAAUUUAUUCGAUCAAAGUCACACACUAAAUCUGUUAUUAGCAGUUGUGUUAUCAUUAACUUUUCCAGUGACACAGCGGCUUGGUUUGCAGUUUCUUUCCUCCCCAAUCUCUUCGGUUUCACUCCAGCUCGUCAUGCAAAAGAUAGUUUUCAAGCUACCGAGUAGCCUUAACCCACACACAUAAAAGUUUACAGUUAAGGUUUCGAAGGAAAGGCUGAUCAGAAAUUUAAUUCUCUCUUUCGGUCAUGAUGGAUAAUUUUUUUGGCAGCCCACAGCUUUUAAUCAAGAAUUUCUUCAUGACAUCCUCAAGCAAUGUAGCAGUCCAAAUGUUCGUAGUUAAUUCAGCAAGAAAGGAGCAGAAUUUUGUUAAGAAAUUUCAGUCACAAGCAAGUCCUGCGGUUCGGCCAUUCCGAACGCAGAACGGUCCCUCUCAUUUUCUUCAUUUCCUUACUCCCACUAAUCAUGCAAAUGGUAACUUCGGCCACAGUAUCCUACGGCAACGUAAAGUUUAGAGCUAAUGGACUGAAACAAUAGCUGAACCAGGCCUUCUCUCGGCCAAUAUUGAAAGGGAUUCCUGCAGCAGCUAGUUAUGCAACAGGAAGCUUUUCAUAGUUUCUCUAUCCAGAUAUAAAUCUUCCAAGCAAGCUGCAGCUAAAAUACUAUGCAACAAAUCAGGUCUCAAGGUGGAAUUUUUGGAGCCAAAGUUCGUAAGGAAACCUGGUAAGUUUCUUUCCCUUCUCUCGGUUGAAGUGGACAGAAUUCCAGCAGCUAUUUCUAUCAUUUCCAGCUUACUCCUCUCGGUUGCUAGUUUCUUUUCCUCUCUCUUUCUAGUCAGUUACUUAGCAACGUUAUGCUCAGCUAAGACUCAUUCCCUCACUAAAAUACAACAUUUUCCAGCAAGUUUCCUUCUUUAUUUUCAACUCAAGGCUCAACAGAUUCAGUCCAGUUUCAAUUUCGCUCCUUUGUCAGAUUUCUCCUCAGUUAAAACUUAUUAUUCUUUGCUAAAAACUAACAUGCAGCCCAUAUAUUCAGUUAUAUUCCAGAAAUGAAAGAGUGGUUACAAGAUUCUUACCUUUUUCCGUUAAGUUUUAAUAGUUGCAGAUUGCUCCUGCUCCUAGCUUCGGUCUUUCUAACUUUUGCACCAGCUCUACCCUUUUUCCCUCACUGAUGCAGUUGAUACGUGAAUUGCAGACUGGUUUCACCUCUUUGUACUCACUCUUGGUUCACGGUUCUAAGGUCACAAGCUGGAUGAAUGCAGCUAACACUGUCUAACUCUCUCCUCCUCACUCUCGGUUGCACUGGAAGCAAGAGGAAAUCAGAAAUGCUUCCUUUUCUCCCUUUUGAUUGUGUACUGAGAUGAGAGAAAUAUGUCUUAGUUUCUCUCGGUCUUGCUCUUAAGGUCUGGUUGAUAUGAAGAGAAGUAAAGUGUACUCCUUCACUCGGCUGAUCACUCAAUCUUCUUCACUCGGUGUUGCAGGCUGCUCAAGUUUGCUAUCACAACUCCUCACUCGACCUCCCUUUUGUUUUCGUUCGUAUAGAUAGCUAAUGGUGAAGCUUCACUUUCUUUUCCCUCACACUCCGUUU